Molecule: ribosomal RNA, 459 nt
Filed under: uncultured bacterium
Lineage: Bacteria
Description: partial 16S ribosomal RNA
Rfam family: Bacterial small subunit ribosomal RNA
Source: RNAcentral
CCUACGGGAGGCAGCAGUGAGGAAUAUUGGUCAAUGGACGAGAGUCUGAACCAGCCAAGUAGCGUGAAGGAUGACUGCCCUAUGGGUUGUAAACCUCUUUUGUCGGGGAGCAAAGCGAACCACGUGUGGUUCAUUGAGAGUACCCGAAGAAAAAGCAUCGGCUAACUCCGUGCCAGCAGCCGCGGUAAUACGGAGGAUACGAGCGUUCUCCGGAUUUAUGGGGUUUAAAGGGUGCGCAGGCGGAGGUGCAAGUCAGCGGUCAAAUUGCGGGGCUCAACCCCGUACUGCCGUUGAAACUGCAUCCCUUGAGUGCGCGAGAAGUAUGCGGAAUGCGUGGUGUAGCGGUGAAAUGCAUAGAUAUCACGCAGAACUCCGAUUGCGAAGGCAGCAUACCGGCGCGCAACUGACGCUCAUGCACGAAAGCGUGGGUAUCGAACAGGAUUAGAUACCCGUGUAGUC